ACAAACUUGGUCAUUUAGAGGAAGUAAAAGUCGUAACAAGGUCUCCGUUGGUGAACCAGCGGAGGGAUCAUUACCGAGUUUACAACUCCCAAACCCACUGUGAACCUUACCACAACGUUGCUUCGGCGGGGUCAGCCCCGGGGCCCGGCCCCGGAAUCAGGCGCCCGCCGGGGGACCCAUAAACUCUCUUUGUCUGUACGCAUAUGUAUACUCUGAGUGGCUCAUAGAGCAAAAAAUGAAUCAAAACUUUCAACAACGGAUCUCUUGGUUCUGGCAUCGAUGAAGAACGCAGC
This 293-nucleotide unclassified non-coding RNA is filed under the name uncultured fungus. RNAcentral's name for it is "partial contains small subunit ribosomal RNA, internal transcribed spacer 1, and 5.8S ribosomal RNA". The stretch from base 1 to 73 matches the Rfam family "Eukaryotic small subunit ribosomal RNA", at positions 1759 to 1831 of the family's 1831-position model. Lineage: Eukaryota; Fungi. The record is from RNAcentral.